GAUGAACGCUAGCUACAGGCUUAACACAUGCAAGUCGAGGGGAAACGAUAUUGGAAGCUUGCUUCUGAUAGGCGUCGACCGGCGCACGGGUGAGUAACGCGUAUCCAACCUGCCCAUCACUUGGGGAUAACCUUGCGAAAGUAAGACUAAUACCCAAUGACGUCUCUAGAAGACAUCUGAAAGAGAUUAAAGAUUUAUCGGUGAUGGAUGGGGAUGCGUCUGAUUAGCUUGUUGGCGGGGUAACGGCCCACCAAGGCGACGAUCAGUAGGGGUUCUGAGAGGAAGGUCCCCCCACAUUGGAACUGAGACACGGUCCAAAACUCCUACGGGAGGCAGCAGUGAGGAAUAUUGGUCAAUGGACGAGAGUCUGAACCAGCCAAGUAGCGUGCAGGAUGACGGCCCUAUGGGUUGUAAACUUCUUUUAUACGGGAAUAAAGUGAGCCACGUGUGACUUUUUGUAUGUACCGUAUGAAUAAGGAUCGGCUAACUCCGUGCCAGCAG
Molecule: ribosomal RNA, 501 nt
Filed under: uncultured bacterium
Lineage: Bacteria
Description: bacterial SSU rRNA
Rfam family: Bacterial small subunit ribosomal RNA
Source: RNAcentral